CCGCAACGAGCGCAACCCUUACUUUUAGUUGCCAUCAUUUAGUUGGGCACUCUGAAAGAACUGCCCGUGAUAAACUGGAGGAAGGUGGGGAUGACGUCAAGUCCUCAUGGCCCUUACGUGUUGGGCUACACACGUGCUACAAUGGUAUCUACAAAAGGAAGCAA
This 164-nucleotide ribosomal RNA is filed under the name uncultured bacterium. Its description in RNAcentral is "partial 16S ribosomal RNA". It matches the Rfam family "Bacterial small subunit ribosomal RNA", at positions 1087 to 1252 of the family's 1533-position model. The record is from RNAcentral.